AAUAGAUACCCUGGUAGUCCUAGCCGUAAACGAUGAACACUAGAUGUUGGUGGUAUCAACCCCGCCAGUGUCGUAGCUAACGCAUUAAGUGUUCCGCCUGGGGAGUACGGCCGCAAGGCUAAAACUCAAAGGAAUUGACGGGGGCCCGCACAAGCGGUGGAGCAUGUGGUUCAAUUCGACGCAACGCGAAGAACCUUACCUGGGCUCGAACGGCUUCGGACAUAUCCUGGAAACAGGGUCUUCCCGCAAGGGACCGGAGUCGAGGUGCUGCAUGGCUGUCGUCAGCUCGCGUCGUGAGAUGUUGGGUUAAGUCCCGCAACGAGCGCAACCCUUGUCCUGUGUUGCCAUCAUUAAGUUGGGCACUCUCAGGAGACCGCCAGCGAUAAGUUGGAGGAAGGCGGGGAUGAUGUCAAGUCAUCAUGGCCUUUAUGUCCAGGGCUACACACGUGCUACAAUGGGCGGUACAAUGCGCUGCCAACCCGCGAGGGGAGCUAAUCGCAAAAACCGGUCCUCAGUUCGGAUCACAGG
Molecule: ribosomal RNA, 528 nt
Filed under: uncultured bacterium
Lineage: Bacteria
Description: bacterial SSU rRNA
Rfam family: Bacterial small subunit ribosomal RNA
Source: RNAcentral